This 208-nucleotide ribosomal RNA is filed under the name uncultured bacterium. RNAcentral describes it as "partial 16S ribosomal RNA". It matches the Rfam family "Bacterial small subunit ribosomal RNA", at positions 524 to 730 of the family's 1533-position model. The record is from RNAcentral.
UACAGAGGGUGCGAGCGUUGUCCGGAAUCACUGGGCGUAAAGGGCGCGUAGGUGGUGGCUUAAGCGUGCGGUGAAAGCUCGGAGCUCAACUCCGAGUCGGCCGUGCGAACUGGGCUCACUGGAGCAUAGUAGAGGCAGGUGGAAUUCCGGGUGUAGCGGUGGAAUGCGUAGAGAUCCGGAAGAACACCGGUGGCGAAGGCGGCCUGCU